Long non-coding RNA from Anguilla rostrata (American eel), 1267 nucleotides. RefSeq lists it as uncharacterized. The transcript has 5 exons. Lineage: Eukaryota; Metazoa; Chordata; Actinopteri; Anguilliformes; Anguillidae. The record is from RefSeq and is a predicted model, not a curated record.
ACUGUAGUAGCACAUCGUUUAAACAUUGUUAGCAUUCUUUGUUUCCAAAUGUUUUAGGUCAUAAAAAAAAUAAAUAAAGAAGGCUGCGCUCACCAGCAAUGAAGCACGAGGAGAACUUGAGGUUAAUUGGAGGGUGCUGCUCACCUGGAUUACACUGGAACACCCAUAAGAGGCUGGAAGCCCAUUCAAAACCCUGCAGUCACCCCAGGCUGCUUCUGCAAAGCCAAAGCCCGGUCGCGCCAUUCAAAAGGCCUGCCUGCCUGCCAGCCCAAAAGAGAGCGGGGUCCUGGGGGACGGGGCGGAUCGGCUUACCCUCCCCCGAAAACGGGAGAGGAGCACACAAAAGGGCCCGGGCCCCGCCAGGCAGAAACUCACGCUAACUGUAGGUGGCUUCUGCACAUUCCUCGGCAAAGACGCAAACCGGUUAUUCGCCCAAAAGAGAGAUGAACCAAACUGAACUGAACUGAACCUGUCCCCUUAGCCGCUAAUUUGACGGCUCGCAGAGAGACGGCCGCGGUGUCGAUAUCACGCACGGAAGCACAGCUUCAGUAAAGGCCCCCGCUUCCCUCAGCCGGCUGAAGCAGAGCCAGAACUGAUCUGCGAAGCGCAUAUUUUAUGGGCGCUUCGUAUUUUACACUCUGGACGUCCGUGCGUCGCUGCUGGUACCGGGAGCACAUAAAUCAGGCUGGAAUUACUCCUGGACCAGGAGGCGCAGCCAGGAGGAUGUUAGUCUGAGCAGACCCGCGAUGCUUCAGCGGCUGAACUCCUCCAGCAGCGUUACGGUGGGGGAGAGACACCACGGUCUGUGGGUGCCUGCUAAUAGCAGCGCUCUUAAAUAAAAAUGACUAACGGUUUGAGUUUAAGUGCCUUGUUUCUUCAUGCUUUGCGCGGUUGCAAAUUUGCCCCGCUCCCACGUGCAAUGAAUCUUGCACACAGUCCUAUCUUGUAAUGUCAUUAUGCAUGAGUGGCUUUGGCAAGGACCAACACAGAGAGUCCCGUUGGCUUAUUUUCCUCUUCAUAAAGCGUAUACGAAGAAUUAUACCAAGUAUACUGAGAAAUCCGUUUGUGUUCAGUGUUUUUUUGCGUAUUUAUUCCCCCGUGUCCCCCUGUGACCCAGAAGACUCAGCCGUCUUUUGAAGAUGAAAUCAUUUUAAACCUUUUCUCCCCACGUUGCCUCACCAUUGAUCAGUUUCUGUUAUGUUUGAGAUUUAUUUUAAUUCCCAGAGGAGAUCCUCCACUGUGAAGAGGUGUGUGACAGUAUGAGGUA